CGUGGCACCUAGUGGCGUUCCGUGCCCCGCGGUCUAAGGAAAAUGUGUGCUUGUUUAUAGUCAGUGUGAGAUCAGUGUGAAAAAUUACAUAGAAUGAGGACUUUUUUGUGGUCAAGAUUCAAAAGAUAUGAAUUAAAACACAAAAAAUAACUUCAUCAACGUAAAAGAAAACGGACAUUUCAACCUCCAAAGCUAAUAACAGUGAACAUUGAACACGGAACAGCAGCGCAACGAGAACCAUCAGGCAUUACUUUGUGAAUUAACGAAAGAAAGAUCGAAAAAUCAAGGGAAGAGAUAAGUGAAAAAAAGGAAACAAAAAGAAAGAGGAAAGAGAGAGAGAGCGAAAAAAAGAUUCAAACGAAGAAGGAAACAGAAAAAGGGAAGAGACAA
RNAcentral lists this unclassified non-coding RNA (390 nucleotides) under Penaeus chinensis. RNAcentral's name for it is "uncharacterized LOC125027194, transcript variant X3". Lineage: Eukaryota; Metazoa; Arthropoda; Malacostraca; Decapoda; Penaeidae. The record is from RNAcentral.